RNAcentral lists this ribosomal RNA (274 nucleotides) under uncultured bacterium. Its description in RNAcentral is "partial 16S ribosomal RNA". It matches the Rfam family "Bacterial small subunit ribosomal RNA", at positions 523 to 796 of the family's 1533-position model. The record is from RNAcentral.
AUACGGAGGGGGCUAGCGUUGUUCGGAAUCAUUGGGCGUAAAGCGCGUGUAGGUGGCUUGGAAAGUUGGAUGUGAAAGCCCGGGGCCCAACCCCGGAAUUGCACUCAAAACUCCCUCGCUAGAGUCCCGGAGAGGAAGGCGGAAUUCCCGGUGUAGAGGUGAAAUUCGUAGAUAUCGGGAGGAACACCAGUGGCGAAGGCGGCCUUCUGGACGGUGACUGACACUGAGACGCGAAAGCGUGGGGAGCAAACAGGAUUAGAUACCCCGGUAGUCC